Molecule: long non-coding RNA, 151 nt
Organism: Parasteatoda tepidariorum (common house spider)
Lineage: Eukaryota; Metazoa; Arthropoda; Arachnida; Araneae; Theridiidae
Source: RefSeq, a predicted model, not a curated record
GCAGUGUUUACCUUGAGGUUGAUGACUGGAAGGCUGUAGUCUGCGAAGCGUACAAUGCUAUCGAGGUUCUGAACCCUGGAUGCUAGGAAUGCUCGGAAAGUACCCCUUCUAAUGAACAUCGCUUAAUGCUUUGUGGAGUUGACAUUUGUAA